RNAcentral lists this long non-coding RNA (2991 nucleotides) under Ananas comosus (pineapple). RNAcentral describes it as "long non-coding RNA (ACOM_LNC020470)". The record is from RNAcentral. Lineage: Eukaryota; Viridiplantae; Streptophyta; Magnoliopsida; Poales; Bromeliaceae.
GUUAAUUGCAUAUUAGGGCUCCGAAUGGGGUUUUGUAAAAUAUGAGGGUUUGAUCUAAUUUGACCCUUCGUAAACCUAAUUGCUAGGUAACGAAACGCGUUGGCGAAGACGGUUCGGCAAUCCGACGAGCCGUUACAAAGUUAUUAAAGAAAUGGACGUUUAGGCUUCGGGUCCGCCGGGAGGGCCGAGGCGACAUCGUAAAUUCAUGAAAAUGGAUUUGAAGCAUCGUGGCACAUAACCGAAGACCUUUAAUUUUCGGAUCGUGAAUUGGAGGCCGUUCGGGUGGUCGCGUGAGAGAUCGGGCCAAACCGGGUGCCGGGUGCCGCGGGAGGCCGAUUGCAAGUGUCGACAAGCAAUCGGAAUGCGAAAUGAGGUGGGUUGUGCUUACCGAAGCGACUAGGUCGCCCUUUAUGUUUAAGAAACAUACGAAUUCACAUUGAUGCAUAUAGUUGUAUUGGUAGGCUUACAUGAUAAUAUGAAUGCUUGAAACAUAUUAUGUAGUUGAUAUUACCUACCAAUGAGAUGAAAUGUAUAAUGAAUUAAAUGCUAAAAGAAUGCAUGAGAUGCUAAGUAUAGACUACUUUGGAUGAUGAUUAUAUGUAUGUUGACAUAUCAUGUGAUGCUAGUAAUAUAUGUGCAUGAUGACAUGUUGUGAAUUAACAUAUUGUGGAUUAUGUUAAAUAGAAACAUAUACAUGAUGACAUAUAUUGCAUAUGAUAGAAGAAUUAUACAUGUUGCCAUAUUGUGGAACAUAGUGGAUGAAUUAUGCAUGUUGAACUUGGUCGAUUAGAGAAAUUGACAUUGGAAAACAAGAACACAUCGAGUGGCAUUAAUGUAGUGUAUUUGACACUAGAGGUUUGAGAACCUAGGGAUAGGUGAAUCCCUUAGAAAAUGCCUUGUGGAUAAAGAACUUAGUAAACCUAAGUACCCUCACAUGGAGAGGUUGUCGAUGAGUUAUUGAGACAUUGACUCUAGUUGUAGAGCAUCCUCACUUGGAGAGGAUUUGAUUGGGUCGUUGACUCUAGUUGUAGAGCAUCCUCACUUGGAGAGGAUUUGAUUGGGUUGUGGACCCUAGUUGUAGAGUAUCCUCACUUGGAGAGGAUAGAUCUAGCUCACAGUCUGCGUUUGGGAUGGUAUAGCCAUCCAAUCCCCACAUGGAGGGGAUUGUCGUCGAGUACUCCGGAGUGUCGUGCGACUAGGACCACUUGGAGGUCCGGACCACAUGGAGGUCCGCAGACGGUCCCGGGCUUGGGUGCACUUGGAGCUCCCUCCCCACUUUGGGAUUGAAAGGUGAGUUAUUGGCGAACCCUAGGGCUUCGCUACAGAUUGGGUAAAAGAACAGUGAACAAUGCCAUUGAACAUUAUUAUUCGAACAUGGAUCGAAUUUGUUAGCAUGAUAGUAAACCUUUACUAUUUGAUGCAUGGUAUGAGUUUUAGUUGCAUCCCAGUUGAGUGGAUUUAGGGCCGAGGUGCAUGUGAGACAUCCUUCACCUUGAGCCUGGCUUUGUGCGGUAUUCCGCGUAUGAUUGACUCAAGACCGGGUCGAGUGGAUAGCUUAUGAAAGCAGGUUAAACCUUAUGAGCAGAAUUGUAAUUGACAAGAAUCUAAAAUAGAGGAAAACUUAGAAGUCAAUUAGUGGAACUGUGAAUAACAGGAAUAAAAGUAGUAUCGAUUGAACUACUAGUUAGUUGCAUGGUUGCAUAAACUGCAUGAAUUUCAUAUUGCAUUUUGUGAGGCACAACAUGUAUUUCAAUACUUGAAUAUAUGUAUCUGUUGGAUAUCUGUUGGACUAACAUGUUGCAGGGCCUCCUUAGACCUAUUGGUCGAGCUUUUCCCUUGGGUGGCCGUACCCACUGGGAACCAUGGAGUUGGUUCUCACCCCACGUUGUUUUGGGGUGUUACAGGUUCGCACAUGAGCGGCGCAACGGCGCGAGGCGAGGGCGUAGCUCCAUAGAUAGCGCCCUACCCCAGAGACCAGAGAUAGAGGUACCCCGAGUCGGCAUAGCCUAGGGGUAGAGGGAAAAGAAAAAAAGCAAACUUGUAUUAAUAUUGCGAUCAUUGAUUGUAUUUGGAAGAAAAUAUAAUGUAAUAAUGCUAAUGUGAUGUAAAAAUGAAUCUAAUGAAUGCUUGUAAUAACAUAGGAUGUGUUAUGUUGUUUGAUACCUUCCUUAUGCAAUCUUGCUUGAAUACUGUUCCUGGUUGGAACUUCUUGUACUUGUAUUGAUUGCGACGCCUAGGACGUACAGGGGAGACUCUGUCCGUUCGGCGGUCUGUCGGCGGCGCCGCGACCUCGGCCAAAUAGGCGGGUGGUUGCGGGUCGUGACAGUGUAAUAAAUAAAAAAAUAGGAUCACGAAAAAAAUUAAUUUUAGCUUGAUAUUAUAUUGACAACACCGUUUUUAGUCGAAACUACAUGGAAUAUGGAUCAGAUAAUGGAUUGGUCAUUUUGGAUUCUGUGUUUCAAAGCUUUGAUAUUGUGGUCUUGAGAAGGAGUUGAUAGAUGUGCAUAGUGAGUCUACUCCCCAAUAAACUCGAGCUUAAUACGACAUGAAGAUUACAAUCUCAAUGAGUUUAACAACCAAAUACUUACCAUAAUAUCUUACAAUCUGAAUUUGAUGGAAUGAUUCAUAACCUUUUUUUUUCUCUAUUCUAAAUAAUCUUUUUAUUCCUUUACUCUUUAGGAAAACAUAAGUAAGUGUUUUUUUCCCCUUUUUUGUUCUUUUUUAGCCAAAAAUUUCUUCCAGUGCUAUUACAUUUCUUGGUUCUGAUACUUUAGCUACACAUUUGGAAUUCAACUUAGCCCUUCUAUAAAACUGAAGCCACAAAGAUAUUGUUUUUAAAGAAAUAUAGCAUUUUUGGAGGUUAAAGUGGUCAUUUCAUAGAAGAAAAUGAUACGAAAACUCGCUGUCGUUUUGAAUUCUAUAUUAAGUAAUACUAUAUCCACUAACACUCCUAAAACUUUUUCCACUAAAAAUUACUAGCUGUUUCCUCGC